Molecule: ribosomal RNA, 515 nt
Filed under: uncultured bacterium
Lineage: Bacteria
Description: partial 16S ribosomal RNA
Rfam family: Bacterial small subunit ribosomal RNA
Source: RNAcentral
GAUGAACGCUGGCGGCGUGCCUAAUACAUGCAAGUCGAGCGAAUGGAUUAAGAGCUUGCUCUUAUGAAGUUAGCGGCGGACGGGUGAGUAACACGUGGGUAACCUGCCCAUAAGACUGGGAUAACUCCGGGAAACCGGGGCUAAUACCGGAUAACAUUUUGAACCGCAUGGCUCGAAAUUGAAAGGCGGAUUCGGCUGUCACUUAUGGAUGGACCCGCGUCGCAUUAGCUAGUUGGUGAGGUAACGGCUCACCAAGGCAACGAUGCGUAGCCGACCUGGGAGGGUGAUCGGCCACACUGGGACUGAGACACGGCCCAGACUCCUACGGGAGGCAGCAGUAGGGAAUCUUCCGCAAUGGACGAAAGCCUGACGGAGCAACGCCGCGUGAGUGAUGAAGGCUUUCGGGUCGUAAAACUCUGUUGUUAGGGAAGAACAAGUGCUAGUUGAAUAAGCUGGCACCUUGACGGUACCUAACCAGAAAGCCACGGCUAACUACGUGCCAGCAGCCGCAGUAA